UUCCUACGGGUGGCUGCAGUGGGGAAUAUUGGACAAUGGGCGCAAGCCUGAUCCAGCCAUGCCGCGUGAGUGAUGAAGGCCUUAGGGUUGUAAAGCUCUUUCACCGGAGAAGAUAAUGACGGUAUCCGGAGAAGAAGCCCCGGCUAACUUCGUGCCAGCAGCCGCGGUAAUACGAAGGGGGCUAGCGUUGUUCGGAAUUACUGGGCGUAAAGCGCACGUAGGCGGACAUUUAAGUCAGGGGUGAAAUCCCGGGGCUCAACCUCGGAACUGCCUUUGAUACUGGGUGUCUUGAGUGUGGAAGAGGUCAGUGGAAUUGCGAGUGUAGAGGUGAAAUUCGUAGAUAUUCGCAGGAACACCAGUGGCGAAGGCGGCUGACUGGUCCACAACUGACGCUGAGGUGCGAAAGCGUGGGGAGCAAACAGGAUUAGAUACCCCAGUAGUCUA
This 444-nucleotide ribosomal RNA is filed under the name uncultured Caulobacterales bacterium. RNAcentral describes it as "bacterial SSU rRNA". It matches the Rfam family "Bacterial small subunit ribosomal RNA", at positions 336 to 797 of the family's 1533-position model. The record is from RNAcentral. Lineage: Bacteria; Pseudomonadati; Pseudomonadota; Alphaproteobacteria; Caulobacterales.